This is a non-coding RNA of Misgurnus anguillicaudatus (oriental weatherfish), 5032 nucleotides long. The record is from RefSeq and is a predicted model, not a curated record. NCBI's taxonomy places the organism in Eukaryota, Metazoa, Chordata, Actinopteri, Cypriniformes, Cobitidae.
AUCUGAUGAAUGAAAUUUAAAUAAAUUGAUUUAUUAAACAUUCUUGUAAAUUAUGAGAUCUAAAACUGUAAUGUUGGGUUCACACAAUGAUUGACAAAGAUAACAUGACUUGAUCCAUGUCCCUGUUAGGAUAAUGAUUGAUUGGCUAAAGUUGUGUUUGUUUUACUCCUGUUUAAAAGAUUCAGUGCCUCUGUGAUUGCCAAAGCUUCAGAAUGGAGGUUCAAACGGCAAUUCUUUUAUUUUGUCUCUUCCUCUUCUCAGCCGCAGAAGAUUGUAUGAACUGCACUGGAGAAGACUACAGAGGAAGCAUCUCCAUCACUGAGAGUGGAUACACCUGCCAACGCUGGGACUCUCAGACACCACACAGCCAUUUGUAUAUCCCUGCACGUUUACAUGAGAAAGACUUGGAGGAGAACUAUUGUAGGAACCCCGAUGGAAAGCCUAAGCCCUGGUGCUUCACCACAAACCCGUCCAAACGCUGGGAAUUCUGCUCUGUUCCUCAAUGCUUGACUGAACUGCCUGCAUUUGUAUCAAGGCACACGUGUACUACUGGAGAUGGAAGCUCCUACAGGGGGAUCAUUUCUGUAACCGAAUCGGGGAAAACUUGCCAAAGCUGGGAAUCUCAAACACCUCACGUGCAUUCCAUGACUUCAGAAAACUUUCCAUGCAAAGGUCUUCGAGGAAACUACUGUAGAAACCCUGAUGGUAACAAAGGUCCCUGGUGUUACACCUCCGACCCUGAGACCCGCUGGGAAUACUGCAAUGUCUCCAGAUGUGAGGAUCGACAUAGACCUGAUGACCCACGAAUGAAUCCUGAGCAGGAAGGAGAGCUUUUUAUUAAAAGGGCUGCAGAAGAUUGUAUGCUCUGCAAUGGAGAAGACUACAGAGGAAACAUCUCCAUCACUGAGAAUGGAUUCACCUGCCAACGCUGGGACUCUAAAACACCACACAACCAUUUUUAUAACCCUGCACUCUUAUUUGAGAAGGACUUGGAGGAGAACUAUUGCAGGAACCCUAAUGGACUGCCUAAGCCCUGGUGCUUCACCACAAACCCGUCCAAACGCUGGGAAUUCUGCUCUGUUCCUCAAUGCUUGACUGAACCGCCUGCAUUUGUUUCAAGGCACACGUGUACUAUUGGAGAUGGAAGCUUCUACAGGGGCAACAUUUCUGUAACUGAAUCGGGGAAAACUUGCCAAAGCUGGGAAACUCAAACACCUCACGUGCAUUCCAUGACUUCAGAAAACUUCCCAUGCAAAGGUCUUCGAGGAAACUACUGUAGAAACCCUGAUGGUAACAAAGGUCCCUGGUGUUACACCUCCGACCCUGAGACCCGCUGGGAAUACUGCAAUGUCUCCAGAUGUGAGGAUCGACAUAGACCUGAUGACCCACGAAUGAAUCCUGAGCAGGAAGGAGAGCUUUUUAUUAAAAGGGCUGCAGAAGAUUGUAUGCUCUGCAAUGGAGAAGACUACAGAGGAAACAUCUCCAUCACUGAGAAUGGAUUCACCUGCCAACGCUGGGACUCUAAGACACCAAACAACCAUAAAUAUAUUCCUGAAUUCUUAUUUGAGAAGGACUUGGAGGAGAACUAUUGCAGGAACCCUAAUGGACUGCCUAAGCCCUGGUGCUUCACCACAAACCCGUCCAAACGCUGGGAAUUCUGCUCUGUUCCUCAAUGCUUGACUGAACCGCCUGCAUUUGUUUCAAGGCACACGUGUACUAUUGGAGAUGGAAGCUUCUACAGGGGCAACAUUUCUGUAACUGAAUCGGGGAAAACUUGCCAAAGCUGGGAAACUCAAACACCUCACGUGCAUUCCAUGACUUCAGAAAACUUCCCAUGCAAAGGUCUUCGAGGAAACUACUGUAGAAACCCUGAUGGUAACAAAGGUCCCUGGUGUUACACCUCCGACCCUGAGACCCGCUGGGAAUACUGCAAUGUCUCCAGAUGUGAGGAUCGACAUAGACCUGAUGACCCACGAAUGAAUCCUGAGCAGGAAGGAGAGCUUUUUAUUAAAAGGGCUGCAGAAGAUUGUAUGCUCUGCAAUGGAGAAGACUACAGAGGAAACAUCUCCAUCACUGAGAAUGGAUUCACCUGCCAACGCUGGGACUCUAAAACACCACACAACCAUUUUUAUAACCCUGCACUAUUAUUUGAGAAGGACUUGGAGGAGAACUAUUGCAGGAACCCCAAUGGACUACCUAAGCCCUGGUGCUUCACCACAAACCCGUCCAAACGCUGGGAAUUCUGCUCUGUUCCUCGAUGCUUGACUGAACCGCCUGUAUUUGUAUCAAGGCACACGUGUACUAUUGGAGAUGGAAGCUUCUACAGGGGGAACAUUUCUGUAACCGAAUCGGGGAAAACUUGCCAAAGCUGGGAAACUCAAACACCUCACGUGCAUUCCAUGACUUCAGAAAACUUCCCAUGCAAAGGUCUUCGAGGUAACUACUGCAGAAACCCUGAUGGUAGCAAAGGUCCCUGGUGUUUCACCUCCGACCCUGAGAGACGCUGGGAAUACUGCAGUGUUUCCAGAUGUGAGGAUCGAAGUAGAUUUUGGGCCUCAUAUUUCAACUAUAAAGAUGACCCACCAAUGUAUCCUGAGCAGGAAGGAGAGGUUAUUAUUAAAAAAGAUAAGAAUGAAUGUAUACACUGCAGAGGACAAGAUUACAGAGGCAAGAUCUCCACCAGUGAGAGUGGAUACACCUGCCAACGCUGGGACUCUCAGACACCCGUGAAUCAUAGCUACGACCCUUCAGCUUAUCCUGGCAAGCACUUGGAAGAGAACUAUUGUAGGAACCCCGAUGACAAGCCUAGGCCCUGGUGCUGGAUCACAAAUUCAACCCUUCGCUGGGAAUUCUGCUCUAUUCCUCAAUGCACGACUGAACCGCCAGCAAAUGUACAAAAGCUUGCGUGUGCUACUGAUGAUGGAAUCUCCUACCGGGGCAACAUUUCUGUGACUGUAUCAGGGAAAACUUGCCAGAAAUGGACAUCUGAAACACCUCAUAAGCAUAGUGUAACUCCAACAACUUACCCUUGCAGUGGCCUAGAAGAGAACUACUGCAGAAACCCUGAUAGUAAAAAAGGUCCCUGGUGUUACACCAAAGAUCCUGAGACCCGCUGGGAAUACUGCAGUGUGCCCAUUUGUAAAGAUCCAUCUAGACCUGCUGCAGAUGAAUGUAUGCAAUGCACAGGAGAAGACUACAGAGGCACGAUCUCCGUCACUGAGAGUGGAUACACCUGCCAACGCUGGGACUCUCAGAGACCACACAAACACAAAUUCAUCACUUCAGUUUUACAUGAGGAGGCCUUGGAGGAGAACUAUUGUAGAAACCCUGAUGGGAAGCGGAGGCCCUGGUGCUAUACCACAGAUCCGUCCAAACGCUGGGAAUUCUGCUCUAUUCCUGAAUGCGCAACUGAACCCACAAUUGUACAAAAAGAGUUCAAAUGUGCCACUGGAAAAGGACGCUCCUAUAGGGGCAAGAUUUCUGUGACUGUUUCAGGGAAAACCUGCCAGAAAUGGUUAUCUAAUAUUGCUAGACUGCAUUCUACACUUCCAGAAGACUUCCCGUGUGGAGGUCUUGAAGGGAACUACUGCAGGAACCCUAAUAAUAGAAAAGGUCCCUGGUGUUUCACUACAGACCCUAGGACCCAGUGGGAAUACUGCGAUGUACCCAAUUGUGAAGAUCCGCCUAGACUUGCUGUAAAUGAAUGUUUGCACUGCAUUGGAGAAGACUACAGAGGCAACAUCUCCAUCACUGAGAGCGGACACACCUGCCAACGCUGGGACUCUCAGACGCCACACAAACAUCUUUAUGUUCCUCCACUUUCAGAUGACAUGCACCUGGAGGAGAAUUAUUGUAGGAACCCUGAUAGAAAGCCCAGGCCUUGGUGCUAUACCACAGAUCCAUCCAAAAGCUGGGAAUUCUGCUCGAUUCCUAAAUGUCUAGGAACUAAACCACCCACAAUUGAACCAACGUUCACCUGUGCUACUGGAGAUGGCAGCUCCUACAGAGGUUCUAUUUCUGUGACCAAAUCAGAAAAAACUUGUCAGCGAUGGACAUCUAAUAUUUCUAAGAUAUCUUCCACACUUCCAGAAGACUACCCAUGCAGUGGCCUUCAAAGGAACUACUGCAGGAACCCUGAUGGUAAAAAAAUGCCCUGGUGUUACACCACAGACCCUAAGAUCGAGUGGGAAUACUGCGAUGUCCCUGUUUGUGAAGAUAAAACUGAAGAAUGUACAAACUGCAAAGGAAUCGAGUACAGGGGCAAGAUCUCCACCACUGAGAAUGAAUACACCUGCCAACGCUGGGACUCUCAGAAACCCCACAAACAUGGUUUCAACCCUGCAUACGCGUUCAGGUGAAGGGAUAGGGAUGUCUUAAUUCUCUAUGUGACCUUUGUAAAGACAAAUGUAACCUGCCCCGGACCCGCCCCUGACUCAAAUUAUCCCUGUUCCCCCAUCUGAUGGCGUCCUGGUUCCCCCGGUCUAAUCGCAUUCCAAAGACGGGAUACCGGGGAAAACUCCUGGUGCUUCAAAUUGCCAGUCCACUACAGCGAUUGCGAACACACCGGGGAAACCGGAACAUGAAUAGAUAGAGGACGAGAGCGCUAGCAGAGGGGUGUGUGGUGUGCUGCUUUUGGGCUUCCACUUUUUAGAUUUUAGACUUUAAUUAAACGUAUAUGACUAUAGGUGAGGGUGGCAUCUUUUAAGUUUUUGAUAAACAUUGCAUCCACUUUGACGUAUAGGGCAUAUGAUGUCGUAUGACGGUGUAGUAGUGGUGUCCCAGUUUUCCCCCAUUACACUCUGUUUUAAGGAGCAACGGGAAGGGGUGAGGCGUAGGGGUAUAAAUUAGAAUUGGGCCUUAGUACACAAAAUAUGCUUUUUAGUUAUUUUGAGCAGAACUUGGUGGAGAACUAUUGCAGGAACCCUUCUAGAGACUCCAGGCCUUGGUGCUAUACCACAGAUCCAGACAAAAGAUGGGAAUACUGCUCUAUUCCUCAAUGCACAAAUAAACCACCCACAGUUGUACAAGAGCA